GGCCUUAGGGUUGUAAAGCACUUUCAGUAAGGAGGAAAGGUUAGUAGUUAAUACCUGCUAGCUGUGACGUUACUUACAGAAGAAGCACCGGCUAACUCCGUGCCAGCAGCCGCGGUAAUACGGAGGGUGCGAGCGUUAAUCGGAAUUACUGGGCGUAAAGCGUACGCAGGCGGUUUGUUAAGCGAGAUGUGAAAGCCCCGGGCUCAACCUGGGAACUGCAUUUCGAACUGGCAAACUAGAGUGUGAUAGAGGGUGGUAGAAUUUCAGGUGUAGCGGUGAAAUGCGUAGAGAUCUGAAGGAAUACCGAUGGCGAAGGCAGCCACCUGGGUCAACACUGACGCUCAUGUACGAAAGCGUGGGGAGCAAACAGGAUUAGAUACCCUGGUAGUCCACGCCGUAAACGAUGUCUACUAGGAGCUGGGGUCUUCGGACAACUUUUCCAAAGCUAACGCAUUAAGUAGACCGCCUGGGGAGUACGGCCGCAAGGUUAAAACUCAAAUGAAUUGACGGGGGCCCGCACAAGCGGUGGAGCAUGUGGUUUAAUUCGAUGCAACGCGAAGAACCUUACCUACACUUGACAUACAGAGAACUUACCAGAGAUGGUUUGGUGCCUUCGGGAACUCUGAUACAGGUGCUGCAUGGCUGUCGUCAGCUCGUGUUGUGAGAUGUUGGGUUAAGUCCCGCAACGAGCGCAACCCUUAUCCUUAGUUGCCAGCGAUUCGGUCGGGAACUCUAAGGAGA
Molecule: ribosomal RNA, 741 nt
Filed under: Pseudoalteromonas sp.
Lineage: Bacteria; Pseudomonadati; Pseudomonadota; Gammaproteobacteria; Alteromonadales; Pseudoalteromonadaceae
Description: bacterial SSU rRNA
Rfam family: Bacterial small subunit ribosomal RNA
Source: RNAcentral